CAAAGGGCUUCGCCGUACUUACACAUGCAAGUCGAACGGGAUCCAUCGGGCUUUGCUUGGUGGUGAGAGUGGCGAACGGGUGAGUAAUGCGUGACCGACCUGCCCCAUGCACCGGAAUAGCUCCUGGAAACGGGUGGUAAUGCCGGAUGCUCCAUCACACCGCAUGGUGUGUUGGGAAAGCCUUUGCGGCAUGGGAUGGGGUCGCGUCCUAUCAGCUUGAUGGCGGGGUAACGGCCCACCAUGGCUUCGACGGGUAGCCGGCCUGAGAGGGCGACCGGCCACAUUGGGACUGAGAUACGGCCCAGACUCCUACGGGAGGCAGCAGUGGGGAAUAUUGCACAAUGGGCGCAAGCCUGAUGCAGCGACGCCGCGUGAGGGAUGGAGGCCUUCGGGUUGUAAACCUCUUUUGUUAGGGAGCAAGGCACUUUGUGUUGAGUGUACCUUUCGAAUAAGCACCGGCUAACUACGUGCCAGCAGCCGCGGUAAUACGUAGGGUGCAAGCGUUAUCCGGAAUUAUUGGGCGUAAAGGGCUCGUAGGCGGUUCGUCGCGUCCGGUGUGAAAGUCCAUCGCUUAACGGUGGAUCCGCGCCGGGUACGGGCGGGCUUGAGUGCGGUAGGGGAGACUGGAAUUCCCGGUGUAACGGUGGAAUGUGUAGAUAUCGGGAAGAACACCAAUGGCGAAGGCAGGUCUCUGGGCCGUUACUGACGCUGAGGAGCGAAAGCGUGGGGAGCGAACAGGAUUAGAUACCCUGGUAGUCCACGCCGUAAACGGUGGAUGCUGGAUGUGGGGCCCGUUCCACGGGUUCCGUGUCGGAGCUAACGCGUUAAGCAUCCCGCCUGGGGAGUACGGCCGCAAGGCUAAAACUCAAAGAAAUUGACGGGGGCCCGCACAAGCGGCGGAGCAUGCGGAUUAAUUCGAUGCAACGCGAAGAACCUUACCUGGGCUUGACAUGUUCCCGACGAUCCCAGAGAUGGGGUUUCCCUUUCGGGGCGGGUUCACAUGUGGUGCAUGGUCACGUCAGCUCGUGUCGCGAGAAGUUGGGUUAAAGUCCCGCAACGAGCGCACCCUUGCCCCGUGGUGGCCAGGGGAUUGGUGCCGGGAA
This 1103-nucleotide ribosomal RNA is filed under the name Bifidobacterium breve. Its description in RNAcentral is "bacterial SSU rRNA". It matches the Rfam family "Bacterial small subunit ribosomal RNA", at positions 30 to 1138 of the family's 1533-position model. Lineage: Bacteria; Bacillati; Actinomycetota; Actinomycetes; Bifidobacteriales; Bifidobacteriaceae. The record is from RNAcentral.